RNAcentral lists this ribosomal RNA (554 nucleotides) under uncultured Acidobacteriota bacterium. Its description in RNAcentral is "bacterial SSU rRNA". It matches the Rfam family "Bacterial small subunit ribosomal RNA", at positions 493 to 1045 of the family's 1533-position model. The record is from RNAcentral. Lineage: Bacteria; Pseudomonadati; Acidobacteriota.
GCGGCUAACUACGUGCCAGCAGCCGCGGUAAUACGUAGGCAGCAAGCGUUGUUCGGAGUUACUGGGCGUAAAGGGUGUGUAGGCGGCUCUCUAAGUUUGGUGUGAAAUCUCCCGGCUCAACCGGGAGGGUGCGCCGAAUACUGAAGGGCUAGAGUACGGGAGAGGAAAGUGGAAUUCCUGGUGUAGCGGUGAAAUGCGUAGAUAUCAGGAGGAACACCGGUGGUGUAGACGGCUUUCUGGACCGUAACUGACGCUGAGACACGAAAGCGUGGGUAGCAAACAGGAUUAGAUACCCUGGUAGUCCACGCCCUAAACGAUGCAUAUUUGGUGUGGGUCAUUCAGUUGAUCCGUGCCGGAGCUAACGCGUUAAAUAUGCCGCCUGGGGAGUACAGUCGCAAGGCUGAAACUCAAAGGAAUUGACGGGGGCCCGCACAAGCGGUGGAGCAUGUGGUUCAAUUCGACGCAACGCGAAGAACCUUACCUGGGCUCGAACGGCUUCUCAACGCCGGUGGAAACACCGGUAUCCCGCAAGGGAGUGGAGUCGAGGUGCUGCA